This 152-nucleotide unclassified non-coding RNA is filed under the name soil metagenome. RNAcentral's name for it is "partial internal transcribed spacer 1". The record is from RNAcentral.
GCGAGUUAUGGCCCUCACGGGUCUAAUCCACCAUAAACACCUUUGUGAACCAGUCAGGGGGACUCGGCCGUGAAAGCCCAGGCGAUUAGCGGAAGGGCCCUCCUUUGCAAACCCGUUUAGAAGUCUUGAAAGUACUUUUGUAUAAUCUAGUA